This 252-nucleotide ribosomal RNA is filed under the name uncultured bacterium. Its description in RNAcentral is "partial 16S ribosomal RNA". It matches the Rfam family "Bacterial small subunit ribosomal RNA", at positions 524 to 776 of the family's 1533-position model. The record is from RNAcentral.
UACGUAGGGGGCUAGCGUUGUCCGGAAUCAUUGGGCGUAAAGCGCGCGUAGGCGGCCGGUAAGUCCGCUGUGAAAGUCAAAGGCUCAACCUUUGAAUGUCAGCGGAUACUGCCGGGCUAGAGUCCGGAAGAGGCGAGUGGAACUCCUGGUGUAGCGGUGGAAUGCGCAGAUAUCAGGAAGAACACCAACGGCGAAGGCAGCUCGCUGGGACGGAACUGACGCUGAGGCGCGAAAGCGUGGGGAGCGAACAGG